AGGACGAACGCUGGCGGCGUGCUUAACACAUGCAAGUCGAACGAGGUUAUGGAGGAGCUUGCUCCGAAGUAACCGAGUGGCGGACGGGUGAGUAACGCGUGAGGAACCUGUCUCACACAGGGGGAUAACGCACCGAAAGGUGUGCUAAUACCGCAUAACACACACCAAUCGCAUGUUUGGUGUGUCAAAGAUUUAUCGCCUAAGGAUGGACUCGCGUCUGAUUAGAUAGUUGGUGAGGUAACGGCUCACCAAGUCGACGAUCAGUAGCCGAACUGAGAGGUUGAUCGGCCACAUUGGGACUGAGACACGGCCCAGACUCCUACGGGAGGCAGCAGUGGGGAAUAUUGCGCAAUGGGGGAAACCCUGACGCAGCAACGCCGCGUGAAGGAUGAAGGUCUUCGGAUUGUAAACUUUUGUCUUAUGGGAAGAAUACAUGACGGUACCAUAGGAGGAAGCCACGGCUAACUACGUG
RNAcentral lists this ribosomal RNA (472 nucleotides) under uncultured bacterium. Its description in RNAcentral is "bacterial SSU rRNA". It matches the Rfam family "Bacterial small subunit ribosomal RNA", at positions 26 to 507 of the family's 1533-position model. The record is from RNAcentral.